Molecule: transfer RNA, 87 nt
Filed under: Tissierellia bacterium
Lineage: Bacteria; Bacillati; Bacillota; Tissierellia
Description: tRNA-Leu
Rfam family: tRNA
About the family: Transfer RNA (tRNA) molecules are approximately 80 nucleotides in length. Their secondary structure includes four short double-helical elements and three loops (D, anti-codon, and T loops). Further hydrogen bonds mediate the characteristic L-shaped molecular structure. tRNAs have two regions of fundamental functional importance: the anti-codon, which is responsible for specific mRNA codon recognition, and the 3' end, to which the tRNAs corresponding amino acid is attached (by aminoacyl-tRNA synthetases). tRNAs cope with the degeneracy of the genetic code in two manners: having more than one tRNA (with a specific anti-codon) for a particular amino acid; and 'wobble' base-pairing, i.e. permitting non-standard base-pairing at the 3rd anti-codon position.
Source: RNAcentral
GCAGAUGUGGCGGAACUGGCAGACGCGCUAGCUUGAGGGGCUAGUGAUAGCAAUAUCGUGGGGGUUCAAAUCCCUUCAUCUGCACCA